GGGGACGUAGCUCAGCUGGGAGAGCAAUAGCUUUGCAAGCUAUAGGUCGUGGGUUCGAACCCCAUCGUCUCCACCA
This 76-nucleotide transfer RNA is filed under the name Coriobacteriales bacterium. RNAcentral describes it as "tRNA-Ala". It matches the Rfam family "tRNA". Rfam says of the family: Transfer RNA (tRNA) molecules are approximately 80 nucleotides in length. Lineage: Bacteria; Bacillati; Actinomycetota; Coriobacteriia; Coriobacteriales. The record is from RNAcentral.